CAGGACGAACGCUAGCGACAGGCCUAACACAUGCAAGUCGAGGGGCAGCACAAGGAGCAAUCUGAGGUGGCGACCGGCGCACGGGUGAGUAACACGUAUGCAACCUGCCUGUAAGCGGGGAAUAACCCGUUGAAAGACGGACUAAUACCGCAUAAUACUAAAUUACUGCAUGGUAAUUUAUUUAAACAUUUAUGGCUUACAGAUGGGCAUGCGCAUGAUUAGCUAGUUGGAGAGGUAACGGCUCCCCAAGGCAACGAUCAUUAGGGGUUCUGAGAGGAAGGUCCCCCCACACUGGUACUGAGACACGGACCAGACUCCUACGGGAGGCAGCAGUGAGGAAUAUUGGUCAAUGGACGAGAGUCUGAACCAGCCAAGUCGCGUGCAGGAAGAAUUGUCCUAUGGAUUGUAAACUGCUUUUGCAGGGGAAUAAAGUGCAUCACGUGUGAUGUUUUGUAUGUACUCUGCGAAUAAGGAUCGGCUAACUCCGUGCCAGCCGCCGC
This 500-nucleotide ribosomal RNA is filed under the name uncultured bacterium. Its description in RNAcentral is "bacterial SSU rRNA". It matches the Rfam family "Bacterial small subunit ribosomal RNA", at positions 25 to 518 of the family's 1533-position model. The record is from RNAcentral.